CCCCGCCCUCACCCGGCUCUCGGUAGGGGAUGGUCUCGGCCCAGGCGCUCGGCUCCUCGUCCUGGAUGUCCAGGACCCUGUCGAUGGACUUCUGGGCCUGGGACAGGGCCUGCUUCGCGAAGCUGGAGAGCUGGGAGGCGUUGAACCAACUCAUCUCCCGUCCUCAGCCGGCAGUGGCGGCGGCAGCACCGAGCGGGAAGGCCGAGGGCCAGGCCGACCGGCCUCAGGCCCGGGGAGGGGUGCGGCGGGACGGCCUCGCCCCCUCCUGCCCUCGGCGAGCCCUGUCAGCGGCUGGCCAUGACCCCGGCCGUCUCCCCCGACCGAGCCCGGGAGGUUGCGCUCAGCCCUUCCCGCACAGCUGAGGGGGGAAGGCCCGGCCUGCGCAUGCGCCGGCCUCGUCCACGUCCACAGCCACCAAAUCCGGGAGCCCAGAGUUCCGUCAACGGACGGAAGAGCGGGCGGGACGUGACGUCACAUCCGGGACCCGAGGAUUGCCAUUAGUUACGGAGAACGCGGAACUGCUGCUGGGGAGGCCGGUGCCAGGCGUAGCGCGCAAACAUCCGGCCGCCGGGGCCGCGGUGGAGCCCUCCGGGAGGCUCCUUCCUAGAAACUAGCUCACGCACGGAGAGCUGACGCCUUGCCAGCAAGAGUUGCGAACGGAGGCAGUUUGGCCUCGCCUAUUAGCGCUUUGUCUCAAAUAUUUAAUCAGUCCGGUGUUAACGUGGCCUUCAGGAGGAACCCUGGGCUUGGGUUUGCCUCAAAAUACCGGGCGUUGUAUAAAAGGCCAGAUCCAACCCGCCUGAUGACGGACAUCUUUGAAAACUGAGGAAUGCAUUCUUUGACCAAAGGAACAAAAUUCAGACGCAAAAGAGUGCUCGCCUCCUCCUUUGAAAGAAGCAAUAUAUUUGCUCAUUAUCUUUCUCUCCAGGCAUCAUUUCCCAUACUGUUAAUGAAAAUGUUUACAAGUACCAACCCUAAAAUUCUGUCUUCAAGGGGCCCUUCACAAAACAAAGUUUUUAAUUUUGAUAGAGUUCAAUUCAUCAAUUUUUUUCUUGUAUGGAUCACACUUUUUUGAUGUAGUCUAAGGACUCUUCACCAAGCCAUAUAUCACAAAGAUUUUCUCCUACACUGUCAUCUAAAGUUUUACUGUUUUACAUUUUAUAUUAAACCUACAAUGCAUUUUAAGUUAAUUUUUGCAAUUUUGAGGUUUGAGUUGGGAUUCAUAUUUUUGCCUCCAGUGGCUCCACCACAAUUUGUUGAAGAAAUUAUCCUUUCUUCCAUUGAACUGUUUUUGCCAUUUCGUCAAACAUCAAUAUUUGCCUGCAGCUAUUUCUGGUUUCUUUGUUCUACUGAUGUGUCUCUCUGCUAACACCACAUGGUCCUGAUAUUGUAGCUAUAGUAAGUCUUGAAAUUAUACAGCGAUUCCUCCCACUUUAUUCUUUAUCAGAUUUGUUUUAGAUAUUCCUUCACCUUUCCAUAAAUUUUAGGACAAUUUUGUAUCAACAAAAAGUUCUGCAGGGAUUUUAAUAGAAAUUGUAUUAAACUUGUAUACAAAUCUAGGGAGACAUGACAUCCUUACUAUGUCAAAUCGCCCAAUUCUUGAACAGAGCAUCUUUACAUUUAUUUAGACCUUCUUUGAUUUCCUUCAUCAGUACUUUGUAGUAUUCAGCAUACAGGUCUUAUACUUAUUUUAUAGAUUAACAGUUAAGUAUUCCCCCGCCCUUUUUUUGAGUGAUUGUAAAUGGCACUCAUUUUAUUUUAAAUUUCACUUUCGGGAUCCCUGGGUGGCGCAGCGGUUUAG
Long non-coding RNA from Canis lupus familiaris (dog), 1801 nucleotides. RefSeq lists it as uncharacterized. The transcript has 3 exons. Lineage: Eukaryota; Metazoa; Chordata; Mammalia; Carnivora; Canidae. The record is from RefSeq and is a predicted model, not a curated record.